This 330-nucleotide unclassified non-coding RNA is filed under the name soil metagenome. RNAcentral describes it as "partial contains 5.8S ribosomal RNA, internal transcribed spacer 2, and large subunit ribosomal RNA". The stretch from base 1 to 120 matches the Rfam family "5.8S ribosomal RNA", at positions 35 to 154 of the family's 154-position model. The record is from RNAcentral.
GAUGAAGAACGCAGCGAAAUGCGAUAAGUAAUGUGAAUUGCAGAAUUCAGUGAAUCAUCGAAUCUUUGAACGCACAUUGCGCCCCUUGGUAUUCCGGGGGGCAUGCCUGUUCGAGCGUCAUUACAACCCUCAAGCUUUGCUUGGUAUUGGACAUUGCCAGUUUCUGGCAGGUCUUAAAAUCAGUGGCGGUGCCAUUUGGCUUCAAGCGUAGUAAUUCUUCUCGCUUUGGAGAUCCAAGUGGUUACUUGCCAAUAACCCCCAAUUUUUUCAGGUUGACCUCGGAUCAGGUAGGGAUACCCGCUGAACUUAAGCAUAUCAAUAAGCGGAGGA